Molecule: small RNA, 486 nt
Filed under: Pongo abelii (Sumatran orangutan)
Lineage: Eukaryota; Metazoa; Chordata; Mammalia; Primates; Hominidae
Description: retained intron
Source: RNAcentral
GAAGAGGACAGGAAGAAUGUGCUGAGAUUGCAGGAUCUGGUGGAUAAACUGCAAGUAAAAGUCAAGUCCUACAAGAGGCAGGCGGAGGAGGCUGUAAGUGAGAUAGGUGCUGACUGCUGCAGGCAGACCGGGCUGUUUCCCGUGGUGAGUUCUGAGAGAGGCGUGUGCUGAUCUAACCCGCCUGGGCUCUUUGGUUUUAGGAUGAACAAGCCAAUGCUCAUCUCACCAAAUUCCGAAAGGCUCAGCAUGAGCUGGAGGAGGCCGAGGAACGUGCGGAUAUCGCAGAAUCUCAAGUGAACAAGCUCCGCGCUAAGACUCGAGACUUCACCUCCAGCAGGAUGGUGGUCCACGAGAGUGAAGAGUGAGCCAGCCCUUCUGGAGCAGGACAGAAGAUAUGCAAAAUGUAUAUUUUCUUGGUUCCUGACCAUUGAUACUCAAUGUCCAUGUGACUCUUUUUCACAUGCGAUAAACUUUGCUUUGUUUCAA